This is a long non-coding RNA of Saccostrea cuccullata (small rock oyster), 904 nucleotides long. RefSeq lists it as uncharacterized. The transcript is spliced from 5 exons. The record is from RefSeq and is a predicted model, not a curated record. Lineage: Eukaryota; Metazoa; Mollusca; Bivalvia; Ostreida; Ostreidae.
AAGUUUCAUUUUCACUUUUGUUUCUAAGAAGUCAACUUAGAUUUUCAAAAAAUGUAAGACUAUCUUUUGUUUUUCCUCUCUUUUACUUUGAUGAUUGUUAUGUUAUGAAGCUUUCCUUGUAUAAAGCUCAAUUUCUCCAUGACCACGGAAGUAAACAUCCUGAUGCAUUCUUGUCAUGUGAAUGUUGAGAGCGUGUUCAUUUUUGAAAUCUCCUUUCUGACAGACAUAUUCUACAGGAUCAGCUGAGAUGUAAUCAAUCACUGGAUUAUUUAAUGGAUAGGCUUAUUGGGCAUAUAUUUGGAUAUCUCUGUCAUCAACAUGGAAUGUAUGACUUCAUCUUUUAUACAGUCGGGUUCGGGGUUUCGGGCGGCCAUGACGAAUUUCGGCAAGAUUUUACCCCAGAGAAAAAGGCUUGUAAUCCACAGUUCCUCAACCUGGAAGAUAUGUUUUGUUCCUAACCAUCUAUAAUCCAUUCUCUAUGAAGUGAAGCCUGGCUGCUCUUCCUUUGGAAAUACACAGUUAGUCAAUCAACAUAGAAACACACAAACUUGAAGGAUAUUCUAGUGAGGGCUUAUGGAAAUGAUCUAUGUCUACUCUCAGAAUGGUGAAAGACUAUCAGAUUAUGCAAAGACUAACAGGAUAUCCUCUCUUGGAACACUGAAACAAGAAAAUCAAACAGGAGGUGGAUGGAGGAUUUAAGAAGCAUGGUGAAAGACUAUCAGAUUAUGCAAAGACUAACAGAAUAUCCUCUCUUAAAACACUGAAACAAGAAAAUCAAACAGGAUGGAGGAUUUAAGAAGCACAUAGAUAAAUAUGAUUUCCAACCAAUUUAAGUACGAUCAUAGACUGUGCUUUACAGGAUGACAAAGAAAGGACCCAGGAUAGUAUCUUUUACUGUCAGACA